This is a non-coding RNA of Ictidomys tridecemlineatus (thirteen-lined ground squirrel), 71 nucleotides long. NCBI's taxonomy places the organism in Eukaryota, Metazoa, Chordata, Mammalia, Rodentia, Sciuridae. The record is from Rfam.
GGGGUUGUGACUCAGUGGCAGAGUGCUUGCCUAGCACGCAUGAGGAAAUGGGUUCGAUUCUCAGCAUCCCA